Molecule: ribosomal RNA, 562 nt
Filed under: Salmonella enterica subsp. enterica serovar Bareilly
Lineage: Bacteria; Pseudomonadati; Pseudomonadota; Gammaproteobacteria; Enterobacterales; Enterobacteriaceae
Also listed under: 1 other name
Description: partial 23S ribosomal RNA
Rfam family: Bacterial large subunit ribosomal RNA
Source: RNAcentral
AGACCCGAAACCCGGUGAUCUAGCCAUGGGCAGGUUGAAGGUUGGGUAACACUAACUGGAGGACCGAACCGACUAAUGUUGAAAAAUUAGCGGAUGACCUGUGGCUGGGGGUGAAAGGCCAAUCAAACCGGGAGAUAGCUGGUUCUCCCCGAAAGCUAUUUAGGUAGCGCCUCGUGAAUUCAUCUCCGGGGGUAGAGCACUGUUUCGGCUAGGGGGCCAUCCCGGCUUACCAACCCGAUGCAAACUGCGAAUACCGGAGAAUGUUAUCACGGGAGACACACGGCGGGUGCUAACGUCCGUCGUGAAGAGGGAAACAACCCAGACCGCCAGCUAAGGUCCCAAAGUCAUGGUUAAGUGGGAAACGAUGUGGGAAGGCCCAGACAGCCAGGAUGUUGGCUUAGAAGCAGCCAUCAUUUAAAGAAAGCGUAAUAGCUCACUGGUCGAGUCGGCCUGCGCGGAAGAUGUAACGGGGCUAAACCAUGCACCGAAGCUGCGGCAGCGACGUUUAUGCGUUGUUGGGUAGGGGAGCGUUCUGUAAGCCUGCGAAGGUGGCCUGUGAGGG